AGGGAAUAUUGGGCAAUGGGCGCAAGCCUGACCCAGCCAUGCCGCGUGCAGGAUUGAAUGCUCUAUGAGUUGUAAACUGCUUUUAUUCGGGACGAACAAGUUCUAUUCUUAGAACUCUGACGGUACCGAUUGAAUAAGGACCGGCUAACUCCGUGCCAGCAGCCGCGGUAAUACGGAGGGUCCAAGCGUUAUCCGGAUUUACUGGGUUUAAAGGGUGCGUAGGUGGUCAGAUAAGUCAGUGGUGAAAUCCUGCGGCUCAACCGCAGAACUGCCAUUGAAACUGCCUGACUUGAGUGUAGUUGAGGCGGGUGGAAUGUAUCAUGUAGCGGUGAAAUGCUUAGAUAUGAUACAGAACACCAAUUGAGUAGUCAGCUCGCUAAACUAUUACUGACACUGAGGCACGAAAGCGUGGGUAUCGAAC
Molecule: ribosomal RNA, 421 nt
Filed under: uncultured bacterium
Lineage: Bacteria
Description: bacterial SSU rRNA
Rfam family: Bacterial small subunit ribosomal RNA
Source: RNAcentral